AAAUAAAAAAGCGCCUGAAUCUUUUAGGUUUAAACAUAAUUUUAUAUUUCCCUAAACUUUCAUAUAUGUUUAAACUUUAAAGAUGACGAGGAAAAAGAGUUAUCGAAUUUUCGGCGGAUGCUCUUUAGGUGAUCACAACCUGAACAGUAUACAAAAUCGUAAGUAAUUGCGGGAACAAAAG
Molecule: non-coding RNA, 181 nt
Filed under: uncultured Leptotrichia sp.
Lineage: Bacteria; Fusobacteriati; Fusobacteriota; Fusobacteriia; Fusobacteriales; Leptotrichiaceae
Description: glmS glucosamine-6-phosphate activated ribozyme
Rfam family: glmS glucosamine-6-phosphate activated ribozyme aptamer
About the family: This entry contains a glucosamine-6-phosphate activated ribozyme that is found in the mRNA for GlmS. GlmS is an enzyme that uses fructose-6-phosphate and glutamine to generate glucosamine-6-phosphate.
Source: RNAcentral